RNAcentral lists this transfer RNA (76 nucleotides) under Actinomadura kijaniata. RNAcentral describes it as "tRNA-Leu". It matches the Rfam family "tRNA". From Rfam's summary of the family: Transfer RNA (tRNA) molecules are approximately 80 nucleotides in length. Their secondary structure includes four short double-helical elements and three loops (D, anti-codon, and T loops). Further hydrogen bonds mediate the characteristic L-shaped molecular structure. tRNAs have two regions of fundamental functional importance: the anti-codon, which is responsible for specific mRNA codon recognition, and the 3' end, to which the tRNAs corresponding amino acid is attached (by aminoacyl-tRNA synthetases). tRNAs cope with the degeneracy of the genetic code in two manners: having more than one tRNA (with a specific anti-codon) for a particular amino acid; and 'wobble' base-pairing, i.e. permitting non-standard base-pairing at the 3rd anti-codon position. The record is from RNAcentral. Lineage: Bacteria; Bacillati; Actinomycetota; Actinomycetes; Streptosporangiales; Thermomonosporaceae.
GCCCUCGUAGUCCAACGGCAGAGACACUCGGCCGAGAUCCGAGAGGUUGCAGGUUCGAAUCCUGCCGAGGGCACCA